GGGGCUGUAGCUUAGUGGUAAAGCACUUGCUUAGCACGUGUGAGGCACUGGGUUCAAUCCUCAGCACCA
This 69-nucleotide transfer RNA is filed under the name Ictidomys tridecemlineatus (thirteen-lined ground squirrel). RNAcentral's name for it is "Spermophilus tridecemlineatus (thirteen-lined ground squirrel) tRNA". It matches the Rfam family "tRNA". From Rfam's summary of the family: Transfer RNA (tRNA) molecules are approximately 80 nucleotides in length. Lineage: Eukaryota; Metazoa; Chordata; Mammalia; Rodentia; Sciuridae. The record is from Rfam by way of RNAcentral.